CGGAGAGUGGCGCAGUUGGCUAGCGCACCAGGCUGGGGGUCUGGGGGUCGCGGGUUCGAGUCCCGCCUCUCCGA
RNAcentral lists this transfer RNA (74 nucleotides) under Patescibacteria group bacterium. RNAcentral describes it as "tRNA-Pro". It matches the Rfam family "tRNA". From Rfam's summary of the family: Transfer RNA (tRNA) molecules are approximately 80 nucleotides in length. Their secondary structure includes four short double-helical elements and three loops (D, anti-codon, and T loops). The record is from RNAcentral.